UACGGAGGGUGCAAGCGUUAUUCGGAAUCACUGGGCGUAAAGGACGCGUAGGCGGGUUGCCAAGUCUGAUGUGAAAUCCUACAGCUUAACUGUAGAACUGCAUUGGAAACUGGUAACCUAGAGUAUGGGAGGGGGAGAUGGAAUUAGUGGUGUAGGGGUAAAAUCCGUAGAUAUCACUAGGAAUACCGAAAGCGAAGGCG
Molecule: ribosomal RNA, 200 nt
Filed under: uncultured bacterium
Lineage: Bacteria
Description: partial 16S ribosomal RNA
Rfam family: Bacterial small subunit ribosomal RNA
Source: RNAcentral